UUUCUCCCGUACGUGGCCCCUGGAGGAAAAAGUGUAAGCACCUCUGUCAUGCUGUCAUCCUCUAUUUUCAGUGAUCUUUAGCUUGUUCAGGAGCUAAAGAUGUGGCUCCUGGUACUCUUCCCAGGACGUUGUGUCUUUUUCUCUGACAGAUGUUUGAUGUAAAGUACAUAGAGCACACUUUCAAAAGGGGACUGAAAUCCAAGGCUGCUCCCCUCCCUUCCCCAUGGCAAUGUUAUUAUUGCUAGGUCAUGGCCUCUCCUUGAUUGCUCCGGUGAAUCCCGAAGCCCCACCCUCUCCCCUAAGCAGCAGUACGGGUUCAACAGGCUGGUUGGAAAUGGAGUGCGUGUCAGGCUAGCCUGCCUCCCUGGUAUAAUACUCUUCGGGAAGGUCAGAGCCAGGCAUCUGAACCCCGGCGGGCAGAAGAAGGAGAAAAUGACCUCGUGUCUCCUGGUGUGAGGGGCACUGCAAGGCACACAGGGGGAAGGAAAUCUCCCCUGGGGAGUUGAGGAAGGGUUCAAAGGGGCUGCUGAAGUGCUAAGCAAAAGCAGUCAGCGGCUUAGCACAUGGUGGAGAAGUCGAUUAUAAGCAUUUGCAGCUGGUUCUCUCUCUCCUACCUCGGAGGAACUGGGUAACUGCUGACUCAGGAGCUGCAUCAAGUCGGAGGAAUGGGAGGGAGAGGGGUCGUGUUUCCCGAGUGCGUGUACACGCCGCAGAGCGAUGGGAUAGCGCCGGGCACCUCCUACCUGCUGUCCCGUCUUGGAAAAGCGAUCUCAGCAGCGUGCUCUAAGAAGCCAGAGCCUAUUGCUUUCCUGUAGCACUAGAGCUUGUUCAUCAUGGCUGUGCCUUCCAUCAUUCUUUGCAGUGGCAAUGGGGACUGUUCUACUUACAGGAAUGUUGGGACUAAUCAUGUGAGAAAAGAUCCUGGAGUGAUGAGGCAGCAUAUUUCCCAUGUCUGAGGUCAGGAUUUGUUCUGUGAAGCUGACCUUUAAAACAGCCUGAAAAUGAGGAACGUGGCACCAGAGAGCAGAGCAGGAAGCAUGAAAUUAUGUAAGAUAUGUUUCUUCUGCAUAUGAAAUACAUUUUUUUUAAAGCUCUAGGUUUGUGAUUCAGCAUUUUCUGCCACUGAGAGAUACAAGAAAGGGGAAAAUUCUGUAGCAAAAAAAGAAAGUCCCUAUUGUUCUAAUCAAAACCUAAUAAAAUAUUAGCCAUCAGGUAUUUUUGUUCCCUUCUGAUGAGCUGGGAUUGAGAUUAUAUUUUUCAAAAAUCACUCUGCCCUCAGCCUCCUGAUCUGAGAACCCUGGAACUGAAGACAAAGUUUUAUUUUGGCACAGCCUGGGCACCUUUUCUAUAUAUAAUCUGUGUGAAGUGCCUCCAGCUUUGUUGGCAUUGGAUUCCUGGGUGACUGCUGUUUCAGCUCUGACAAGCAACUGCAGGACAGGCCUGUGAUGAGGAUGCUCCAGGGUGCUGGUGCCCAAUGGAUGUUUGCUUUUGCUGCAGGAUAGGCAGGUCAGGGUCCCCCCAGGGCUAAAGCAUCAGUUUGGGUGAGGUUGCCAGCCUGGGUUUGAUCCCAGCUGCAUGGUGAUGCAAGCCCUAGACACAAGCUCUCCUCUCUGAGCUUGUGCAAAAGUGCCUUCACUGCCUUUUUUUCCUUCCUGCCUUUUCGCCCUGUUGCCCUUUCCAUUGUUGAGAUGCAUGAGGUUGCAUUGAGAGCUUUGCUGCAACUGCCAGAUGUCCCAGCCUGUUGCUGCCUCCCUGGUCUUAGAAAUGCUGUUGACCUGUUUGGAAGGAGAAAAUGAGGGAGCCAUUUCAUCCUUCUCCCUCCUUGGAGUCUGGUUCUGUGUUAAGAUAGCAUUUACCUCUCUUGAUAAAGGAGGUGGCAGUGGUGGGGAGCACAUUCCUGGAUAGUGGAGCUCAGCUGAGUCCAUGGAGAGACUGGUCCCUGGCACAGUGUUGGCCUCAGGAUGUUAGCAUUUUCCCAAACAAUUCCCAGGCAUGGGCAUAAAAAUUCUGCAGUCACUACACUUUGAUGGAUAAGAGGGUUUAACAGCCUGUACACAGCUAACCUGUGCCCAUUGGCUCAUUUAUCCCUAUGGAUGUGGUCUGGAUGUGCCUGGAGCGAUCUGUGCUCAGAGCAGAACCCUGCACAGGGGCAGCCUUGCUCUCCAGUGUUGAAUUAUGUCAUCGUGAAGAAGGAAGACAGCCUUGUCAUGCUUCCCCUUUACCUGCUGAGAUGGCAGCAGCAGCAGCAGCAGAGGUGACUGAUGGCUCUUUUUUGGUUGCUCCAAAUGCCAGACAGAAGGAAGCAGGCUUGCAUCUGCCUCAGACUCUGAAUUGAUUUCUUUUUUCUUUUCUUUUUUAAGAGUCCUAAGGGAGAAACAAAUGGAUAUAAGCAUGUACUGUAUUUGUGAGACCAGCACUGGGAUGGCCUGCAUGUUAUAAAUUAAUGUUGAAAAAUGGGUGGUGGAACAUUAAAGCCACACAAAAUGAUUCAGAGCCUGAAGAAAAUGCUUCACAAUGGGAGACAUGAAGCACUUUGUCUCUUUAGUUUAUCAAAAAAGGCUGAGCAGAGAAUUGAUUAUGAUGGUGAAGGAACUUCCUUGGAAGAAAAAUAUCAGGUACUGAAAGGCUUUUUAAUCUAGUAAAUUAUGGGAAUGUGUUCCAGCAAGCUGAAAUCAGAUACAUUCAUAUGAAAAACUGGGCACAAAUUUAUUGGAAUGAAGGUGGUUAAUCACCAUAACAAGCUAUCAGGAUAGUUGGAACAUUUUCCAGAUGUGCCCAAGCCAAGACAGGCCUGUUUCUGAAGGGCAUGCACUAACCACAGUUAAAAGCAAGAGGGACACUGCAGUAAAGUCUCAGGCAAGGUAAACAGGUGAGGUUUGAAGGACUGUGAUGUGUGACAGGCUUGACUAACAGCUCCCAAAGGAGCUGUGAAGAUCUAAUGGUUCCCAUCUGUCCUUAACCUCCGAGAGACUGAGAAAAACAGCACUUAGCAGAAAGUGGAAGGCAGGAAUCAGAAUGACAGCCUCAUUGCUGGCACACUCCUGUGACCUCUGUUUCUGGAAGGACUGUGUCUUUCACCUGCUCGGGACUUUACUAAUGUUUGCUCUACUGCCAACACAAGAACGUUUCUCCAGUCCACAAGCUCUCUGUACAGACUGGCAUCAGCACCCUUCAUUUUAGGAGAGCAUGAGUAAAAAUUUGUGAUGCUCAGUGGCUCAGUGGUAGCUAGGAUAAGUAGUUUCCUUUUCCAGUUUGUUUUUUUUUUAAAUUCCAUCUUCAUAAGCUUUGGUCUUGCCUGUGCUUCACACCUUCUAGUUUCCCCAGUAUCCAUUUCCUUGUAUUGCCUUUGCCACCAGGCUCAGUGUAUUUUCCUGCAUUGAUAAUCUGUGGUGCAGGAUGUCUUGGAGGGUGCUUCCUACCUAUAAUUUGACAAAAUAAACGCUGUCUUUCUUGCACAGA
Haemorhous mexicanus (house finch) is the source of this 3459-nucleotide long non-coding RNA. RefSeq lists it as uncharacterized. NCBI's taxonomy places the organism in Eukaryota, Metazoa, Chordata, Aves, Passeriformes, Fringillidae. The record is from RefSeq and is a predicted model, not a curated record. The transcript is spliced from 3 exons.